This is a long non-coding RNA of Passer domesticus (house sparrow), 1465 nucleotides long. RefSeq lists it as uncharacterized. NCBI's taxonomy places the organism in Eukaryota, Metazoa, Chordata, Aves, Passeriformes, Passeridae. The transcript has 6 exons. The record is from RefSeq and is a predicted model, not a curated record.
GAAGUGAGCUUCUAGGAAAGUUGUGGUCAAACCAAUCAGUGGCCAGAUUUGAAAUUGGCAUCUGGUGUGGCCACUGGGGACCUGGAUACGCCUCUGAGAACACACAGGGGUUAAAAGCAGAGGAUUCCCAGAGGGACUUUCUCUUUUGAGUCCAGUUGAAGUGGGAAAUCUGAGCUUCUGGGAGGUGAAGAUAUGUGGAUGAGAUUAAUAUUGAGAAAGCAAUUCUUUCCUCUCCAUGUGCAAGCCAUGAGCUGUUAUGGAUGAUGACAAAGUGGAAUAUAGAGAGACAUGAUUCUGCCAUUCAGACAACAGCACGCGUCAAGCAUGAACAAAAUGACUAUAUGAUGACAGUGAUUUCCUAUUAAGUUUUCCUGGGAGCUACUACAAAGCCAAACUAUAGCAACUUUUUUCCUGUAACAAAUGGCAAACUCCUUAGAGGGAUGAUUCCCCCAAAAUGAAAUCUGGUAAAAAGAGUUACUUACUAAAAGGAUCUUCAUUUACCUUCAUUUUCCAGUGUUGUAUGAAACAGGCCACUUUACAUUCCAGCAGAUCUCCUCACUUGGUAUUGUUUAUGCAAAUAUACCCUCUUUUCAAAAAGCGUCUGGCUUCAGAAAAGGCCUGGCAGUGGAGCACAAAAGCGAAGUUGUACAGCAGCUACCAGACCUGAAAAGACAGGCUGAAUGGAGGAAUGGAUGCAAUAUGCAGUCGGCCAGACAAACAGAAGAACCAUUCUUUUCUGGGUACCAGUGGUGUGUGGAGAAGGCAGCCUAUCCCAGAGAGAGGAAGAAAAGGCCUUGAGAUGGGGGUAACUGCCCUGAUCCUAUAGAAAAAAAUAAAAGGCUAAAGGGACCGGAGCCAAGGAUUAUAGAUGCAACUACAGUUAAGACAUAAAACUGCUUUAACCCACUUUUAGGACUUCUUGCGGCAUGGUGAACUUUGCCAAGACAAAUUAAUUGGAAAUUUAUGUUCCUUGUAGGUAGGAAACAUGACAAUGAAAAAGGUAGAACAAAUUUUUUCAAUACAGUAACUUUCCAACCCCUAGGAAAGAAUGAAGACAUUUUCUUUUUGCUGUUAGCUUUAGCAGAUAAGUGCACUGGAAAUUAUUUUUCUAGUAGCAAAAAUUUAGCUGAGAUGAAUUCUCUGUACAGCACUGCAAAUACAUGCUGUCACAUAUGGGCAGAGAGAGCAAGGGAGCACUAGUACAAGGAUGUUGCAUUGCACAAUAUGCACAUAAUAGGAAAUACUGAUUUCUUAAUGCAAUAUAAACAUAUAUAUGCACUUCUCAUCCAUGUUUUAUUUCUUCUUAUAAUGUAAAAGCUUGCUGUAACCCAACCAUUAUACAGUGAAAAACCAUUUAGUUAUGGAUGACACUAUACUGUAACUUCAGCAUUAACUGCUUAUUUAAUAAAAACACUAUUGUCAUUUCCACUGUCUUUAUAAAUCUCCUUAAAUACUUGAGAUAAUG